UUCCAAAAUGAAGGGAGGUUUUUUCUUGUGUUCCAAAUUAGUGUAUAAAAUAAAAUAAAAAUAAAUAAAUAAAUAUUGUAAGAGAGAGUGAGAGAGUGUGAGAGAGAAAAACAAAAAAAAAAAGUAGAGCCCACAGGGCCCCCCAAACCCGGAGAGCCCUUGUAUAGGCUCCCAAUUCAUGUAUUUACUAGUAUAGAAUCCGCGCUUCGCGGCGGGUAGAUAAUAUUUCAGUAAAUUAAUAUAUAUAGUUUUUAAAAUUUUAAAAUUAAAAAAUUAUAGUGAAAAAUAUAAAACAAACUUAUAUAUCCUUUAUAUAUUAUAAAAGCUAUUUUUUUAUUAAUAUUUUUAGCUUUCAUAUUUGUAAAGUUAAAUUUAAAGUAUUCUAAUAACUUUAUUUAUUUUAAAAUUAAAAAAAUUUAUAAUGCAAAAUAUAAAACAAAUUUAUAUAUCCUUUACAUAUUAUAAAAACUAUUUUUUUAUUAAUAUUUUAACUUUCAGUAUUUGUAGAGUUAAAGUAUUUUAAUAACUUUAUUUAAAAAUUCUGUCACACCCCGGGGCCCAACGAAAGCCCGUCCGGCGUAUGCACAGACCCGCCGUGUACACCAAACAACCAUAAU
Molecule: long non-coding RNA, 617 nt
Filed under: Ananas comosus (pineapple)
Lineage: Eukaryota; Viridiplantae; Streptophyta; Magnoliopsida; Poales; Bromeliaceae
Description: long non-coding RNA (ACOM_LNC035566)
Source: RNAcentral